CCAAGGAGUCUAACGUAGUCGCGAGUCUUCGGGUAGUCAAUCCUGCUGGCGCAAUGAAAGUGAUUUGGCCCGAUUCAUGUAAAUGACGCAGGGCCGGCCCGUCGGGGGUUGUCACGGCCCCGGCGGAGCUAGAGCGACUGUGUUGGGACCCGAAAGAUGGUGAACUAGGCCCGAGCAGGACAAAGCCGGGAGAAAUGCUGGUGGCGGUCCUCAGUGGUUCUGACGCGCAAAUCGAUCACGAAACUUGGGCGUAGGGGCGAAAGACUAAUCGAACCAUCUA
RNAcentral lists this ribosomal RNA (280 nucleotides) under Cellana nigrlineata. Its description in RNAcentral is "partial 28S ribosomal RNA". It matches the Rfam family "Eukaryotic large subunit ribosomal RNA", at positions 666 to 946 of the family's 3401-position model. Lineage: Eukaryota; Metazoa; Mollusca; Gastropoda; Nacellidae. The record is from RNAcentral.